GGGGUUGUGGCUCAGCGGUGGAGCACUCGCCUAGCACGUGCCGGGCCCUGGGUUCGAUCCGCAGCACCACA
Molecule: transfer RNA, 71 nt
Filed under: Marmota monax (woodchuck)
Lineage: Eukaryota; Metazoa; Chordata; Mammalia; Rodentia; Sciuridae
Description: tRNA.Ala
Source: RNAcentral